UACGUAGGGACCAAGCGUUGUUCGGAUUUACUGGGCGUAAAGGGCGCGUAGGCGGCUUAACAAGUCACUUGUGAAAUCUCCGGGCUUAACUCAGAACGGCCAAGUGAAACUGUCAAGCUAGAGUGCAGAAGGGGCAAUCGGAAUUCUUGGUGUAGCGGUGAAAUGCGUAGAUAUCAAGAGGAACACCUGCGGCGAAGGCGGGUUGCUGGGCCGACACUGACGCUGAGGCGCGAAAGCUAGGGGAGCGAACGGG
Molecule: ribosomal RNA, 253 nt
Filed under: uncultured bacterium
Lineage: Bacteria
Description: partial 16S ribosomal RNA
Rfam family: Bacterial small subunit ribosomal RNA
Source: RNAcentral